AAAGUCGUAACAAGGUUUCCGUAGGUGAACCUGCGGAAGGAUCAUUGCGAGUACAUGAUUUGUGCAGUGCUGCAUUUAUGCAGCGCUGUGCGAAACUUGGUCGUCAGCGGGUGGAGGUUGUGGUGGAUAGGAGGUUAUACUAGUGGAUGAGAGAUUAUCUAAAGUGGAUAAGAGAUUAUCUAAAGUGGAUAAGAGAUUAUCUAAAGUGGAUAAUAGUCUACGCUAGUGUGAGUGACAACCAUCAUGAUCACAUCCCAGACAACACACACGCGUUCUUGUCUGUCAGUCUAGGUAAAUUAAAAAAAACAACUUUUAACAAUGGAUCUCUUGGCUCUU
RNAcentral lists this unclassified non-coding RNA (336 nucleotides) under Basidiomycota sp. Its description in RNAcentral is "partial contains small subunit ribosomal RNA, internal transcribed spacer 1, and 5.8S ribosomal RNA". The stretch from base 1 to 47 matches the Rfam family "Eukaryotic small subunit ribosomal RNA", at positions 1785 to 1831 of the family's 1831-position model. The record is from RNAcentral. Lineage: Eukaryota; Fungi; Basidiomycota.